Molecule: transfer-messenger RNA, 367 nt
Filed under: Mycobacterium tuberculosis
Lineage: Bacteria; Bacillati; Actinomycetota; Actinomycetes; Mycobacteriales; Mycobacteriaceae
Description: transfer-messenger RNA%2C SsrA
Rfam family: transfer-messenger RNA
About the family: Bacterial tmRNA, also known as 10Sa RNA or SsrA, is named for its dual tRNA and mRNA-like properties.
Source: RNAcentral
GGGGCUGAACGGUUUCGACUUCGCGCAUCGAAUCAAGGGAAGCGUGCCGGUGCAGGCAAGAGACCACCGUAAGCGUCGUUGCGACCAAAUAAGCGCCGAUUCACAUCAGCGCGACUACGCUCUCGCUGCCUAAGCGACGGCUAGUCUGUCAGACCGGGAACGCCCUCGGCCCGUACCCUGGCAUCAGCUAGAGGGAUCCACCGAUGAGUCCGGUCGCGGGACUCCUCGGGACAACCACAGCGACUGGGAUCGUCAUCUCGGCUAGUUCGCGUGACCGGGAGAUCCGAGCAGAGGCAUAGCGAACUGCGCACGGAGAAGCCUUGAGGGAAUGCCGUAGGACCCGGGUUCGAUUCCCGGCAGCUCCACC